Molecule: ribosomal RNA, 767 nt
Filed under: uncultured Granulicatella sp.
Lineage: Bacteria; Bacillati; Bacillota; Bacilli; Lactobacillales; Carnobacteriaceae
Description: bacterial SSU rRNA
Rfam family: Bacterial small subunit ribosomal RNA
Source: RNAcentral
GACGAACGCUGGCGGCGUGCCUAAUACAUGCAAGUCGAACGAGAGCGACCGGUGCUUGCACUGGUCAAUCUAGUGGCGAACGGGUGGGUAACACGUGGGUAACCUGCCCAUCAGAGGGGGAUAACAUUCGGAAACGGAUGCUAAAACCGCAUAGGUCCUUUAACCGCAUGGUUGAAGGAGGAAAAGAGGCGCAAGCUUCUGCUGAUGGAUGGACCCGCGGUGCAUUAGCUAGUUGGUGAGGUAACGGCUCACCAAGGCCGUGAUGCAUAGCCGACCUGAGAGGGUGAUCGGCCACAUUGGGACUGAGACACGGCCCAAACUCCUACGGGAGGCAGCAGUAGGGAAUCUUCCGCAAUGGACGCAAGUCUGACGGAGCAACGCCGCGUGAGUGAAGAAGGUUUUCGGAUCGUAAAACUCUGUUGUUAGAGAAGAACAAGUGCUAGAGUAACUGUUAGCGCCUUGACGGUAUCUAACCAGAAAGCCACGGCUAACUACGUGCCAGCAGCCGCGGUAAUACGUAGGUGGCAAGCGUUGUCCGGAUUUAUUGGGCGUAAAGCGAGCGCAGGCGGUUCCUUAAGUCUGAUGUGAAAGCCCCCGGCUCAACCGGGGAGGGUCAUUGGAAACUGGGGAACUUGAGUGCAGAAGAGGAGAGUGGAAUUCCAUGUGUAGCGGUGAAAUGCGUAGAUAUAUGGAGGAACACCAGUGGCGAAGGCGACUCUCUGGUCUGUAACUGACGCUGAGGCUCGAAAGCGUGGGUAGCAAACAGG